GGAUGGCUUGGUGAUGGGGGCUAGUUUUAUGGCUUCCCCAUUGGAGGGUGUCCUGGAUAGUGACCAUAAGGUGGCUCAUACACCGGUGGUUUCUUAGGAGGUUCAUAUACUGGUGGCUUCUUCGGAGGUUCGUAAACCGGUGGUUUGGGCUCUGGCUUCUCUUUCUUCGGAGGUUCAUAAACUGGUGGUUUUGGUGGCUUAGGUUCAUAUACUGGUGGUUUUGGUGGCUUAGGUUCAUACACUGGAGGCUUCUUUGGAGGCUCAUAUACUGGUGGUUUGGGUUCUGGCUUCUCUUUCUUUGGAGGUUCAUAAACUGGUGGCUUUGGUGGCUUAGGCUCAUAAACUGGUGGCUUUGGUGGCUUAGGUUCAUAUACUGGUGGUUUCUUUGGAGGCUCAUACACCGGAGGCUUCUUUGGAGGCUCAUAAACUGGUGGCUUUGGUGGCUUAGGUUCAUAAACUGGUGGCUUAGGUUCAUAUACUGGUGGCUUUGGUGGCUUAGGCUCAUAAACUGGUGGCUUUGGUGGCUUAGGUUCAUAAACUGGCGGUUUCUUUGGAGGCUCAUACACCGGAGGCUUCUUUGGAGGCUCAUAUACUGGUGGUUUGGGUUCUGGCUUUGGAGGCUUAGGUUCAUAUACUGGUGGUUUCUUUGGAGGCUCAUAAACUGGUGGCUUUGGUGGCUUAGGCUCAUAAACUGGUGGCUUUGGAGGCUUAGGUUCAUAAACUGGCGGUUUCUUUGGAGGCUCAUACACCGGUGGUUUCUUGGGAGGUUCAUAAACUGGUGGUUUGGGUUCUGGCUUUUCCUUCUUUGGAGGUUCGUAAACCGGUGGCUUGGGCUCCGGCUUCUCCUUCUUUGGGGGUUCAUAGACAGGGGGUUGGGGUUCUGGCUUCUUUGGAGGUUCGUAAACUGGUGGUGGUUUGUAAAUUGGGGGUGGCUUCACCUCGGGAGGUUUGUAAACAGGAGUAGGUGGUUUCCCAUAGCCGGGUAACUCGUAGGUACCAAGGGAGGGAGUGGCGAGAACCACCACUCCCAGGAGCAGUACUAGUAAGUGUGUAAGAGACAUCUUGGAGCUCUGGCUUUCGAUAGGGCAACUCGAAGCCCUCCUUUUAUAGUGGUAAAGGAGCCUUUUGGUUAGUCCAGGUGUCAAAAUUUCUCUCGUUUCAUACCUUACGAAAUAGUGAGCUAGCUAGAUUUGUAAAUAUUUGAGUAAUUCAUAAAUGUGAUAGGGUCCAUUUGGGUCCCACUUAGUCGAAAUUUUGGACUAUGAAUUACAAGGCCUUAUUCAUGAUUGAAGAAGAUUGGCAGUGUGGCUAUUAAAGAAGAUUGGCAGUGUGGUUCUUUUGGCGGUGACUAUUCCUUCUCUUUCCAUAAAGUAAUAGUUAGCGUCACUCUUUUCAUCUUUUUCAUUUAUGAAACAUGCUUUUUCUUUUCCUGCUAAAAGAAGCAAUAGAAUGGCACGAAAUUCUCCUUUAUAUCUGCUCAGCAACUCUUUCCUAACAAAUAUAAGAAGCUCAAGGCGUGAAAAUAUCUCAAGAGACUGAAAGUGAAGAGCGUUUCUAUAAACAAUGCCUCAGGAUAAAGUUGCAAAAAAAUUGCAGGACUGCACAUCUUCUAGUAUCACAAUAGGUGUUCAUCAAGGAAAACUUUUUACUCCAAUUGGUAUGAUAUUUACUGUUUUCAUGUCCUGUAAAGUCUUGGUUGCUACAAUAAAUAUAGUAGAAGUGUUUGAUGACAGCAAAUUUCCUUCUGGACUGCAAACAUUGUUACUAAUUUCAAAUGUAAUGCCACAGCUAUAAAAAAUAAAAAUAAAAUAAAAAAAGCGAAGCCCAGAUGAGAAGGUUGGUACCUUCCGCUUGCAUGUUCUAAGUUUUGCUUGAGGGAGAUUAUUUUGGCUAAAAUCUAACAACAUUGUUGCCAAAAGGCAACUUCAUUAUUGGUGGAAGCCUUUGCAGUCCUGUUGGGAAAUUUACACGAAUGCAGCACUCACCUCUUUGCUUGUUUCCAUAGUUAACAACAAGUGAGCUUAUUUGUCGGUAUUGACUUUUAUGAUGCAUACCCUUUUUCUCUUUCUAUAUUUUGUUUUCAGUUACCUAAUUCCUUAUAGUUGGCACUAGGUUUUUUUUAAAUUCAACGAGUUUUUGCAUCUAAUGGUCUUUUAUUGACUUUUAGAAGCAAUAUUUUAACCUUCCUGUUGAUUGUACCUUAGUUGAACUAAGUUCCAGAAAGACAGCUUUCUUUCACUAUCAGUGUAUGGAUAGCUUAGCAAUUUAGUCUUAUGGAUUCAUUAUUACCCUUGCACUAAAGCCGCAGGCAAAUUACUGAAAGACUAAUCAUAGAUCUUUUUCUGCUAAUUAAGGUAUUUGAGUGGUUCUAUUAUGGAGAGAAAUUAAUUUACUCUGUAAGUGAGGCUAUAUUGAAGAGAAUCUGAACUGUUUACAACUACUUUGUUCUCCAUAAGAAUUUUGGCUGCAACGUUUGACAAUUAUUGUUGUUAUUGCCUUUAUUCUCAUGACAGAGCGCUUUAGGCAGGACAAUCUGGUUCAUGAACACUGCUCAUAAUUAGAUUUUAAUUCCCAAUCCUAAAUUGCAUGUUAAUAGCAUUAUGAAGUAUGUCAUAAAUUUUGCACAAUACUUUAAACUCGGAAAGAGAGUAUUUGGACUUGGGAUCUCUUCCUGGAAGUACGGCCUGGUCACCAUGAAGCUUCCAGAAAUUUGUUUUCUACACGCAACACUGGAUUUGGUAUAACUAAUUGUGAGGAAAUAUGAGCUCUUAAAGCAGAUGAACAGUUCUGUGAAUCGGCUUAAUUAAUUUUCAUGAAUUCGGGCAGCCUAAGGCUUAUUCCAAACAAUUUAGAUGAAGAGUUCGACCAGAGUAAAGAAAUAUUUCAUUAUGUACCAUCUUGUCCUGUAAUUAGGUGAUUAUCAUAUGAAUUAUAAAUUUAUAAUCACUUUCCUGAGUCGAAAUUCAGCAGAUUUCUUUUGUAGUUUCCCCCCACUCAUCUACAGGUUAUUUUAUCAAAAAACCUGCUGGUUUUUUUUUAAAUUAAAAAAACCUGCAGGUUCUGUGCUGCUAUGUGCUGGCAGAAGAAAAAGCUUAAUGGCGAUAGAACAACAGUCAGUGAGAAAGACUGGCAUUUUGCAAAACCGACAUGCUGCAUAAUAGGCCUAGCUUACCUACCGUCCUUUUGAUAAAAUUGUACUCGUUAUAAAAUUAGAUGAACUUUCAAUUCGUAGCUUAUCCAAUUAGUACGUAACACAAUGUUUGAAAUACAUGAUUGAUCAUGAAUGCCAAUAUUAUUGCUUUUUGAUUUUUGCAACUCUGGCAAUGGAUCUUUCCACCAACCAAUCUCCAUGCACGAAAACGCAACAAAAAUCUUGAACUUAGUGGUUCAGUUGAAGUCAAAAAGCCAAAAGAAAGGGAUGAGAGGGGGGAUUGAAACAAAGAAAGCGAAAAGAGAAACAGACCAUGACUGGAGAGGAAAUAUGAAUAUAGGUGGGAAUAAAUAAGUAUUCAUGGAAAUCAACUGCAUGCAGUAACAAAGUGGCUUGUGAGGCUCUUCAGCUUUCUCCAUUAUUGGAGGGUGUCCAGGGUAGUUUCCAUAGGGUGGAGAUGGUUUGGGCGAGGGUAGAGUUCUUGGCUUAUGCUCAGGAGCCGGGGUAUGAGGUUUGGGCAUUGUGGCUGGCUUUUCAACGGCUUGUCCACCUGUGGUGCUGGUCCUUUUUUUGGAGGUAGAGUUGGUGCAAUGGGUGGUUUUGGUCCUAACUCUAGGAGGUAGAUCGAGUUAGUGGAUUGUGCUCAGGAUUUAGCUUUUCUGCUUUAGGAGGCUUUCGAACUCGGGUUCCUGCCUCGUGCUUGGCACUGGCUUCUUAGUUGGGGGAUCCAGGUGGCCUGGAAUGGGUGGUUUGCGCUCAUAUUGAGGUGGCUUUGCGUAAUCAGCUAAACAGGGUGCGCUAAGACUAAAAACCACUGAACCGAUAAACAACAUAAACAAGUAUACAUAGGAGACAUCUUUGUGCUUUGAUGGUAUAAAGAUAAUGGUUCAGAACUUGAAGGAACAUACCAUUUUGUAAUGCUUACCAGCCCUGGAAAGUUGUAUACAUGUUCAAAUUUCGUUCAGUUCGUGUCAUGCACAGAUUACAAAAUAAGUUAAACUAUAUAAUUUGCAGAGCUUAAUUAAGGCGAUAAAAUGGUUCAUUUGUUUCCCAUAGAGAUGAACAUUUAGACAGUUGGGAAAAUCCUGUUCCUAAGAAGGAUGAGGGAGGAAAAGUUCCAACCUCCAGGUUAAAAUCCAUUUUAGUUUCUCUCUCACGAUCUAC
This 4315-nucleotide long non-coding RNA is filed under the name Theobroma cacao (cacao). RNAcentral describes it as "long non-coding RNA (TCAC_LNC002752)". Lineage: Eukaryota; Viridiplantae; Streptophyta; Magnoliopsida; Malvales; Malvaceae. The record is from RNAcentral.